CCUUUAUACUGCUGCGAACGGCUCAUUAUAUCAGUUAUAAUCUACUUGAUCGUAUCCUCUUACUUGGAUAACCGUAGUAAUUCUAGAGCUAAUACAUGCAAAAGUUCCCGACUGGUGACGGAAGGGAAGUAUUUAUUAGGUCCAAAAUCAAUGCUGGCCAUUCCAAACUGGGUGGGUCAAACUGCCUGGGGUCGGGAAAGUUGAAGAUUCAUAAUCUCUAAAAAAAGCACAGNGAUCUUUUCCCCGCUGAUAAAAAAAAGAAUUUGCGCCCUAACCAUUUUACGGGGGAAUAAGGGGGAACAAAGGGGNCCCCAGGGGAAAGGGGNUAAAA
Molecule: ribosomal RNA, 331 nt
Filed under: uncultured fungus
Lineage: Eukaryota; Fungi
Description: partial 18S ribosomal RNA
Rfam family: Eukaryotic small subunit ribosomal RNA
Source: RNAcentral